GGCAGCAGUGGGGAAUCUUCGGCAAUGGGCGAAAGCCUGACCGAGCAACGCCGCGUGAAUGAUGAAGGCCUUCGGGUUGUAAAAUUCUGUUAUAAGGGAAGAACGACUUUAGUAGGAAAUGGCUAAAGUGUGACGGUACCUUAUGAGAAAGCCACGGCUAACUACGUGCCAGCAGCCGCGGUAAUACGUAGGUGGCAAGCGUUAUCCGGAAUUAUUGGGCGUAAAGAGCGCGCAGGUGGUUGAUUAAGUCUGAUGUGAAAGCCCACGGCUUAACCGUGGAGGGUCAUUGGAAGCUGGUCGACUUGAGUGCAGAAGAGGGAAGUGGAAUUCCAUGUGUAGCGGUGAAAUGCGUAGAGAUACGGAGGAACACCAGUGGCGAAGGCGGCUUCCUGGUCUGUAACUGACACUGAGGCGCGAAAGCGUGGGGAGCAAACAGGAUUAGAUACCCUGGUAGUCCACGCCGUAAACGAUGAGUGCUAAGUGU
This 484-nucleotide ribosomal RNA is filed under the name uncultured Bacillota bacterium. Its description in RNAcentral is "bacterial SSU rRNA". It matches the Rfam family "Bacterial small subunit ribosomal RNA", at positions 347 to 823 of the family's 1533-position model. The record is from RNAcentral. Lineage: Bacteria; Bacillati; Bacillota.